This 639-nucleotide ribosomal RNA is filed under the name Ostreopsis sp. CBA_6. RNAcentral's name for it is "eukaryotic LSU rRNA". It matches the Rfam family "Eukaryotic large subunit ribosomal RNA", at positions 56 to 640 of the family's 3401-position model. Lineage: Eukaryota; Dinophyceae; Peridiniales; Ostreopsidaceae. The record is from RNAcentral.
GCAGCGAGACCAUCAGCUUGGAUUUUGUAAGUAGUUGCAAAUGAACACAAACUUGAUCACUUUGGCAAUCUGUGCACAUCAUUGUGCAACAAUUUGUAUAUGUAGGCACAGUGCUAUCAAAGCUGCAUGCAAGUGAUUUUUGAAAGGAUACAACAUGGGAUGUGAUAUUCAUGUGUGUGUGCCUGCUUUUGUCCCCACCCUGUGCUGUAUAAAUCACAUUUUCUGCAACUAAAAUGCUAAUUGCAUGGGAAAAUUCAUGUGACAUGACACAAGCUUGAGAUUCAUGAUGUGCAAGUACCAUGAGGGAAAUGUGAAAAGGCCUUUGAAAAGAGAAUUAAAGAAAGCCUGCAUUUGCUGACAAUAAAAGCAAGGGGGGAUGUUCAUGUAAUUGUUACUGCAUCAAUCAAUGCUCAUCAUGGUUACUGCAUGCUUUAUAUUACAGCUCAAAACCCGAAGGGUGGGUAACAGCUUUGCUUCGAUUUUUCCCACAUGGGAUCAGUCGAAACUUUGUGAGAACACUUUUCAGUUCCCUCACGUAUCCACCAGCUUUGUCCACUUGUGUGUUGGCACACAUGUAAUGAUGAUGUGUUUAUGAAAGAUACUUCUGUGCUCACCAACAUGUGUGCAAUUCUACUCGUC